UACGUAGGGUGCAAGCGUUGUCCGGAAUUAUUGGGCGUAAAGGGCUCGUAGGCGGUCCAUCGCGUCGGGAGUGAAAAGCUGGGGCUUAACCCCAGUCCUGCUUCCGAUACGGGUGGACUAGAGGUAGGUAGGGGAGAACGGAAUUCCUGGUGUAGCGGUGAAAUGCGCAGAUAUCAGGAGGAACACCGGUGGCGAAGGCGGAUCUCUGGGCCUUACCUGACGCUCAGGCGCGAAAGCUAGGGGAGCGAACAGG
This 253-nucleotide ribosomal RNA is filed under the name uncultured bacterium. Its description in RNAcentral is "partial 16S ribosomal RNA". It matches the Rfam family "Bacterial small subunit ribosomal RNA", at positions 524 to 776 of the family's 1533-position model. The record is from RNAcentral.